RNAcentral lists this long non-coding RNA (244 nucleotides) under Sorghum bicolor (sorghum). RNAcentral's name for it is "long non-coding RNA (SBIC_LNC007871)". Lineage: Eukaryota; Viridiplantae; Streptophyta; Magnoliopsida; Poales; Poaceae. The record is from RNAcentral.
GAGCUUGAGCUUUGUGUUGACCAAAUUAGAGCUUAUCUAUGAUGCUAUUAGUGUAGAAUAGGUAGAGACACCACCUUGCACCAUCAAUUAGGUGAUAUAGCUUGAUUUUAAUGGAGAUUAAUUAUAGUUUCAUGUAUGGAGAGAAAAGGCAUUCUAGAUCUAGGGUUUCCUUUUUUUGUUUUUGUUUCAUAAAAUUGGAAUGUGGUUGGCAUGAAUAGUUAUUGGUAAACUAAUAGUUGUUGCU